ACUCCUGCGGGAGGCAGCAGUGGGGAAUUUUGGACAAUGGGCGAAAGCCUGAUCCAGCCAUGCCGCGUGCAGGAUGAAGGCCUUCGGGUUGUAAACUGCUUUUGUACGGAACGAAACGGCCUUUUCUAAUAAAGAGGGCUAAUGACGGUACCGUAAGAAUAAGCACCGGCUAACUACGUGCCAGCAGCCGCGGUAAUACGUAGGGUGCAAGCGUUAAUCGGAAUUACUGGGCGUAAAGCGUGCGCAGGCGGUUAUGUAAGACAGUUGUGAAAUCCCCGGGCUCAACCUGGGAACUGCAUCUGUGACUGCAUAGCUAGAGUACGGUAGAGGGGGAUGGAAUUCCGCGUGUAGCAGUGAAAUGCGUAGAUAUGCGGAGGAACACCGAUGGCGAAGGCAAUCCCCUGGACCUGUACUGACGCUCAUGCACGAAAGCGUGGGGAGCAAACAGGAUUAGAUACCCUUGUAGUCC
Molecule: ribosomal RNA, 469 nt
Filed under: uncultured organism
Description: partial 16S ribosomal RNA
Rfam family: Bacterial small subunit ribosomal RNA
Source: RNAcentral